AGGGGAUCUUCGGACCUUUCGCUAACAGAUGAGCCUGCGUUAGAUUAGCUAGUUGGUAGGGUAAAGGCCUACCAAGGCGACGAUCUAUAGCUGGUCUGAGAGGACGAUCAGCCACACUGGGACUGAGACACGGCCCAGACUCCUACGGGAGGCAGCAGUGGGGAAUAUUGGACAAUGGGCGAAAGCCUGAUCCAGCAAUACCGCGUGUGUGAAGAAGGCCUUAGGGUUGUAAAGCACUUUCAAUUGGGAGGAAAACCUGCCGGCCAAUACCCGGUAGCUUGACAUUACCUUUAGAAGAAGCACCGGCUAACUCCGUGCCAGCAGCCGCGGUAAUACGGAGGGUGCGAGCGUUAAUCGGAAUUACUGGGCGUAAAGCGUGCGUAGGCGGUUCGUUAAGUCAGAUGUGAAAGCCCUGGGCUCAACCUGGGAACUGCAUUUGAAACUGGCGGACUAGAGUUUAGUAGAGGGGAGUGGAAUUUCAGGUGUAGCGGUGAAAUGCGUAGAUAUCUGAAGGAACACCAGUGGCGAAGGCGACUCCCUGGACUAGAACUGACGCUGAGGUACGAAAGCGUGGGUAGCAAACAGGAUUAGAUACCCUGGUAGUCCACGCCGUAAACGAUGUCGACUAGC
Molecule: ribosomal RNA, 630 nt
Filed under: uncultured Methylobacter sp.
Lineage: Bacteria; Pseudomonadati; Pseudomonadota; Gammaproteobacteria; Methylococcales; Methylococcaceae
Description: bacterial SSU rRNA
Rfam family: Bacterial small subunit ribosomal RNA
Source: RNAcentral